This is an RNA transcript of Dipodomys ordii (Ord's kangaroo rat), 1001 nucleotides long. It is a transcript of the gene named ras-related protein Rap-1b pseudogene, with no coding region annotated. The record is from RefSeq and is a predicted model, not a curated record. Lineage: Eukaryota; Metazoa; Chordata; Mammalia; Rodentia; Heteromyidae. The transcript has a single exon.
AGCUGAGACCCUGGGGGGGGGGAGGGAGCGCGGGGUGGCCGGGAGGAUCCGGGUGACAGCGUGAGAGGUACUAGGUUUUGACAAGUUUGCAUCAUGCAGAAGUAUAAGCUGGUUGUUCUUGGCUCAGGAGGUGUUGGAAAAUCUGCUCUGACUGUACAGUUUGUUCAAGGAAUUUUUGUUGAAAAAUAUGAUUCUACAAUAGAAGAUUCUUAUAGAAAACAAGUUGAAGUAGAUGCACAGCAGUGUAUGCUUGAAAUUUUGGAUACUGCAGGAACGGAACAGUUUACAGCAAUGAGGGAUUUGUACAUGAAAAAUGGACAAGGCUUUGCUUUAAUUUAUUCCAUCACAGCACAGUCCACAUUUAAUGACUUACAAGAUCUAAGAGAGCAGAUUCUUCGAGUUAAAGACACUUUUGAUGUUCCAAUGAUCCUGGUUGGUAAUAAGUGUGACUUGGAAGAUGAAAGGGUUGUAGGAAAGGAACAAGAUCAAAAUCUAGCAAGGCAAUGGAACAACUGUGCAUUCUUAGAAUCUCUACAAAAUCAAAAAUAAAUGUUAAUGAGAUUUUUUUAUGACCUAGUGCGGCAAAUUAACAGAAAAACUCCAGUACCUGGAAGGGCUCACAAAAAGUCGUCAUGUCAGCUGCUUUAAUAAAUUAAAUGCAUUGUAGCUCUGAGCCAGGUCUGAAGAACUGUUGCCCAAUUCAACAGUGCCAGCAUUCCUACUUUGUUAAACCUACCAACAUCUUAAAUGGACUUUCCUGUGGUGGUACCUUUAAGAGGCGGAUGAAAGCUACUAUAUCAGUUUGUACAUUCUAAUCACUUUCCAAUAUCACGAGAGAUUUUUACUUAUAUAAUAGUCCUACAGUAUGCAGCUGGUAAAACCAGAGGCUACCUCCAGUAUUACUGCUAAGAGACAUUUUUCAUCCACCAAUGUUGUACAUGUAUGAAAAUGGUGUACUGUAUACUUUAACACAUCCCCAUUCUUUGUAUUGGAGAGUACAA